CAUGUCCUUUUGUUAUAAAUUUAAGGUUUAACCUGCCCAAUGAUUAUUUAAAUGGCCGCAGUAUUUUGACUGUGCAAAGGUAGCAUAAUAAUUAGUUUUUUAAUUGAAAGCUGGAAUGAAUGGUUGGACGAGAAAAUUUCUGUCUCUUUUUUAUUGUUGUAGAAUUUAAUUUUUAAGUAAUAAAGCUUAAAUAAUUUAAUAAGACGAGAAGACCCUAUAGAGUUUUAUAUUUUUAGAAAUUUAAGUUUUUAGAAUUUAUUAUUAAGUUUGAUUAGAAUAUUUUAUUGGGGCGAUAAAUAGAUAAAAUUAACUCUUUUUUAUACAUAAAACUAGUAAGUAAAUUUUUGAUCCAUAUUUUUUGAUUAUAAGAUUAAAUUACCUUAGGGAUAACAGCGUUAUUUUUUUUUAGAGUUCUGAUCGACAAAAGAAAUUGCGACCUCGAUGUUGGAUUAAAGAUAAUUUUAGGUGCAAAAGCUUAAAUUUUAGGUCUGUUCGACCUUUAAAACUUUACAUGAUCUGAGU
This 522-nucleotide ribosomal RNA is filed under the name Sostea sp. UPOL RK0687. RNAcentral describes it as "partial 16S ribosomal RNA". It matches the Rfam family "Bacterial large subunit ribosomal RNA", at positions 1814 to 2610 of the family's 2925-position model. The record is from RNAcentral. Lineage: Eukaryota; Metazoa; Arthropoda; Insecta; Coleoptera; Dryopidae.